UCGGGGAUCAUCUAAUGGUAGGAUGGCAGAUUCUGAAUCUGCCUGUCUAGGUUCGAAUCCUAGUCCCCGAA
Molecule: transfer RNA, 71 nt
Filed under: Deltaproteobacteria bacterium
Lineage: Bacteria; Pseudomonadati; Myxococcota; Myxococcia
Description: tRNA-Gln
Rfam family: tRNA
About the family: Transfer RNA (tRNA) molecules are approximately 80 nucleotides in length. Their secondary structure includes four short double-helical elements and three loops (D, anti-codon, and T loops). Further hydrogen bonds mediate the characteristic L-shaped molecular structure. tRNAs have two regions of fundamental functional importance: the anti-codon, which is responsible for specific mRNA codon recognition, and the 3' end, to which the tRNAs corresponding amino acid is attached (by aminoacyl-tRNA synthetases). tRNAs cope with the degeneracy of the genetic code in two manners: having more than one tRNA (with a specific anti-codon) for a particular amino acid; and 'wobble' base-pairing, i.e. permitting non-standard base-pairing at the 3rd anti-codon position.
Source: RNAcentral